AGUUAAUUAGCUUAUAUAAAAGCAUUUAUUUUGAAAGUAGAGAAAAGAAUGUAUUCUAUUAACUU
This 65-nucleotide transfer RNA is filed under the name Vagitanus terminalis. Its description in RNAcentral is "tRNA-Ser". Lineage: Eukaryota; Metazoa; Arthropoda; Insecta; Hemiptera; Cicadidae. The record is from RNAcentral.